GAGAAAUCAAACGCCAAAAUGGUGGCGGUGGUGAGCUCGGUGGUGCAAGAGGUCCUCGGCCACCGCGCCCUCGACGUCGACAAGCCGAUUAUCGAGUACAUCAUCAACGUCCUCGCGGACGAGGACUUCGACUUCGGUCUCGACGGCGACGGCGCCUUCGACGCCAUUGGUGAGCUUCUCGUUGACUCUGGCUGCGUUGAUGACGAUGACGAGAGCCGCUCGGUCUGCAGCAAAC
RNAcentral lists this unclassified non-coding RNA (235 nucleotides) under Hevea brasiliensis (rubber tree). Lineage: Eukaryota; Viridiplantae; Streptophyta; Magnoliopsida; Malpighiales; Euphorbiaceae. The record is from RNAcentral.